UUAUAAUAAUAAAAAAAAAAAUCAGAGAGUAAAGUUGCUGUAAUAGGGCAGAGUAUAUAGUUUGUGCUGAAGUACUAAUUUGAGUGCAUUUAUUAAUAAUAAAAAAAACAAUGCAAAAAUACAUAAAAACAUAAUAAUGAUGUUCGGGGUUCGAUCAUUUCUGAUCGUUAAUAUUACAAACCAUAUAAAAAAAACAUAAAAAAAAUUAAAAACAUAAAAACAUAAAAAUUAAUUGUCCAUAUUACAGUCCUCAUUAAUAUUCUGGCCACACUCGGCCAUCAAAAACAUAAAAAAAAAAUAAUAAGAAAAUAAAAACAAAUUCAACGAAAGAAUUGUCGAGCUGGUUGUGGUGGUCUAAGGGAGAGCUCCGUUGAGGGAGCUCUGGUACGAAAAGUCACGAGCGGAGGCGAAGGAAUCUCUGUUUCUGGAUCGAUUAUGAUGGGAAUGGGGAAGAGGUCCAGCAGCCUCGGUGCCCUCAUUAUUACCCAGUCGUAUUCUUUCAACCAAAAAAAAAAAUUGUGUUAAUUUUAAUAGAAAAAAAAAAUUCAAUAAAAUUGAGAUCUGAUGAGAGUUCUUACCAUACAUGUACAGCGGCAGUUGUGAAAACUGAGUGCCAGUGGGGUCUAUAUCCGCUUGCCAGCGCCUGACCCGAUUGCCGUGGUUGUUGAACCAGCAGUGCACGUUGUAUUCGCUGGCAUCUCCGAAGGUCCUUAGUCGAGACGUGAUCUCGACGAUUUGCGCUCGGCUUGGAUGAGUGACCCCAUAAUUGAAGAUGUUGGUCAUCAUCUUGACCUGAUCAUCUGUUGGACGCCACCGCUGACUUGUGUAUCUCUCGAUUUCCAUCUCGCUCAUCAUAUUCUAAAACAUGGAAAAAAUGAAAAAAAUAAAAAAAUAAAAAAAAAAAACAAAAACAGAAAAAUAAGAAGCAUAAAAAAAAAUAUUAGAUUAGUCUGUGUUUUCUUUAUUUGUUGUUGUUUCCUUUUAGAUUUAUUUUGUCCAGUCUGUAUUUGAUGUUUCAGUGUCUGGUCUUUGAUCUGUUUCACGGUCCUUGCAAAGGGGUCCUAAACGAAUCUACGUUCAGUUGUCCUUGUCCAUGUCAUUCAUGUUAUUAUGUUUUUGUGUUUUAUUUUUAAGUGGGGUACGUGGCGUUGUUCUACCCGAUUGUCUCUGCCAUACCUUCAAUCGAAGGGAGAUUAACGUCUGGUUUCCAGCCGAUAUACCCCUUAAGUUUUUUUGACAGUUGUGUUUUAUGUGUUUUUCUUUUAAAAAAAAAAUAAAGCAGGAAAGCAGGAAAGCAAGAAGGUAAUAAUAGCAGAAAAAGCGGUAAAGGGAGGAAAGAAAGGAAAGAAGAUAGAUCGGCAGAAGAAGAAAAAUAAAGGAAAGCAGGAAAAUGGAAAAGAGGGAGAGCAGGCAAGAGGUCAGAGAAGAAAAAAUGGAAAGCAGGAAAGCAGGAUGGUAAUAACAGCAGAGAAGCAGAAAAGGAAGAAAUAGAGAUCCAAGGUGCAGAGAACUUACCUGGAGUAGUAGGCUGGCAGAGGAGCUCCUCGCUGAUCUCGGACUCUUCAGAUGGCACGGUGACAGAGCUUCCUCGCAGAUCCAGACGCUCGAGAAGAGAGAAGAGAGGAGAGCAGAGAGAGAGGCUAGGUGAGGAAAUGGCGCUCUGACGCUGAGGAGUACUUGUGGUGGCUGGAAUUGAUCAUUGGACAGUGCUAAGACUCUCCGCAGAGUGUUCACAAGAAGGAGAGCUCAAUGGAUUUUGCAUUGAUUUAUUUUGUGUGUUAAAAUAAAAAAUUUGAUUUAGAACUCCUACACACCACACAGCCUUAAGAAUACCAGCCACCACUCCACGGUUUUAUUUUCCCAUUCAAGGUUUUAUUUUGGCAUUUAGUUGAUACUUUGGAACACAUCACGUCUGGGAGGAAUUCAAAAAUGAAAGUGAAUUUGUUGAAAUAUAACACACGGCCCACCUAGCUUUGAAAAAAAAAGAAGAAGCCUUCAACCUUUGGAGAGAAGCACGUACACACCUUCUUUUGUUAUUAUUACUCUUGUAAAAGAUUGAUUGAAGAAAGAAUACGUGCAAGGUGUUAAAGGAGAUAACAAAUGCUAAAAUAUGGGGUCCAUUCACCACUAAAAAAGCACUCUAGCAAAACUCACGGAACCAAGAAGUUUUCUUCAUUCAUUUUGGCAAACAUACAUCAAGAGCAUACAUUUUGCAACAUGGGAACCACCAAACUCUCUUGUCUGGAACGUGAAUAUGAAGCCAUCAAUUUGGAAAGCUUCAAUUAAAUUAAGUGGCAGCUCACAUCUCACGGCCCACAUGGAAAAAUCUGAAUGGUUUUCUCCAUUUUAUUUUUGGCUAGCACAUGGUCCACCACUCACGCUUUUUAACGUUUAUGGCUUGUAAAAAUUGAAGACAAUUGGAGAUUGGAACGUAAGGAGUGCAACUGGCUGGAAGGAUAGAGAAGCUCACGGUCCCUUUGGUGCAGCACACGUGCAGCAGUGGUGUUCUCCAUUCUAGCAAGCGAAGCAACUCCAUCCAGACGUCCAUAUUUCCAGCAUCCUCCACCAAACGCAGCAGUUCACGCAGCACUUGAAUGAAGAUGAGCAGCAGCAGCUCUUCCGUUCUUCAAAUGGAAGAAGCACCAUCCAGGAAGCAGCAACGUCCAGCAUGCAGCCCUUCACCACGGUCCAGCAGCGUGUGUGUGUUUGGAAAAGAAAGGAAGUGGUGUGUUGUCAUGGUGGCAUGAGAAUGGUAUUACGUCCAGGGGGAAGCAGCUGCCACGGUCUAAGUUGGAAUAUUUUAUUCAUUAGCAAUGAAGUGGUGAAGAGAAAUGGAAGGCUUUUUCACGUCCACAAGGAAACAAAAGUGGAAAAUUAAUUGAUCAAGAAAGUUGCUAAAAGACAAAAUUGAGAAAUGGUGCUGGAUGGCAAAGUCACGUUCAAGUGUGCACAAAAAGAGAAGUAACAGGAGUAGCUUCAGGAGCUAUAAAUUGGCAGAAUUUGGGGGCAGAGGGAUGAGAUUUGGGAAGCAGAUUUUAGUGGAUUUUAGGAGUAGUGUAGGAACUACCCACGUCUGGGAGGAGGCUCUUGCCUCUUCCUCUUCCAAAACUCUCUGUAUUUUAAUUUCAGUGCCAAAACGUAGUUUUCAUUUCUGAACGUGUCAUUUCAUUUUUAGUUGUACUGUUCAACGAAUUUAAUUUCAAGUAUUGAAUCUUUGAUGAAUUUUAUUUUCAUGUUAAGUGUUUUUAUUUUAUCUGUUAAAUUUUACCAGUAAUGAUUUUCCACACAGUUAAAUUCAGUCAUUUCUUUUUACCGUUCAGUUUAUUUUCAACGUUGUUUUUACUGUUCAUUUUCACUGUUGCUUUGGGUAAAUUUUAUUUACACUGCUGUUAUGUUUUUGCAUGUUUAUUGUUCCAGCAUUUUAAUUUCAAACACUGUUAAAUUUUCCGUUUACUGAUUUUUACCGUCUUUUACCGCACACUGCGUAAUUUUCCAUUUUCUAUUUUUACAGUCUUUUACCGUUCAGUUUUUACCGUCGUUAAGAUUUAUUUCAGUGUUUUUAAUUCUGUUUUAUUUAAUUUCCAGUUUUAAAUUUUAUUUUCCGUACAAAACAUCCACAAAACCAUCCCUUUUUCGUGUAAGACUGAACCGACAAAAAUUGGUCCUUGAGAGACGACCUAGGAGUCACUUCCUAGUAACUAUACUGCAUUCUUAAUUGCACAUCAAAUUUGAUCGACCGCGACAGCCGUAUCAAAUUUUGGCGCCGCUGCCGGGGACCAAUGAAGGUUUGGUUUUAGAUUUUUGUUGUGUAAAUUUUUGUUUUGUUAAUAUGUGUGUUUUGUGUGUUUUGUCUUGUAUAUUUUUGUAGGCGACAACGACACCUUCAGCAAAUUUUGGCGGCGUUGUCACUUCAGUUCCAGCAGGAAAGCAGGAAAGCAAGAAGGUAAUAAUAGCAGAAAAAGCGGUAAAGGGAGGAAAGAAAGGAAAGAAGAUAGAUCGGCAGAAGAAGAAAAAUAAAGGAAAGCAGGAAAAUGGAAAAGAGGGAGAGCAGGCAAGAGGUCAGAGAAGAAAAAAUGGAAAGCAGGAAAGCAGGAUGGUAAUAACAGCAGAGAAGCAGAAAAGGAAGAAAUAGAGAUCCAAGGUGCAGAGAACUUACCUGGAGUAGUAGGCUGGCAGAGGAGCUCCUCGCUGAUCUCGGACUCUUCAGAUGGCACGGUGACAGAGCUUCCUCGCAGAUCCAGACGCUCGAGAAGAGAGAAGAGAGGAGAGCAGAGAGAGAGGCUAGGUGAGGAAAUGGCGCUCUGACGCUGAGGAGUACUUGUGGUGGCUGGAAUUGAUCAUUGGACAGUGCUAAGACUCUCCGCAGAGUGUUCACAAGAAGGAGAGCUCAAUGGAUUUUGCAUUGAUUUAUUUUGUGUGUUAAAAUAAAAAAUUUGAUUUAGAACUCCUACACACCACACAGCCUUAAGAAUACCAGCCACCACUCCACGGUUUUAUUUUCCCAUUCAAGGUUUUAUUUUGGCAUUUAGUUGAUACUUUGGAACACAUCACGUCUGGGAGGAAUUCAAAAAUGAAAGUGAAUUUGUUGAAAUAUAACACACGGCCCACCUAGCUUUGAAAAAAAAAGAAGAAGCCUUCAACCUUUGGAGAGAAGCACGUACACACCUUCUUUUGUUAUUAUUACUCUUGUAAAAGAUUGAUUGAAGAAAGAAUACGUGCAAGGUGUUAAAGGAGAUAACAAAUGCUAAAAUAUGGGGUCCAUUCACCACUAAAAAAGCACUCUAGCAAAACUCACGGAACCAAGAAGUUUUCUUCAUUCAUUUUGGCAAACAUACAUCAAGAGCAUACAUUUUGCAACAUGGGAACCACCAAACUCUCUUGUCUGGAACGUGAAUAUGAAGCCAUCAAUUUGGAAAGCUUCAAUUAAAUUAAGUGGCAGCUCACAUCUCACGGCCCACAUGGAAAAAUCUGAAUGGUUUUCUCCAUUUUAUUUUUGGCUAGCACAUGGUCCACCACUCACGCUUUUUAACGUUUAUGGCUUGUAAAAAUUGAAGACAAUUGGAGAUUGGAACGUAAGGAGUGCAACUGGCUGGAAGGAUAGAGAAGCUCACGGUCCCUUUGGUGCAGCACACGUGCAGCAGUGGUGUUCUCCAUUCUAGCAAGCGAAGCAACUCCAUCCAGACGUCCAUAUUUCCAGCAUCCUCCACCAAACGCAGCAGUUCACGCAGCACUUGAAUGAAGAUGAGCAGCAGCAGCUCUUCCGUUCUUCAAAUGGAAGAAGCACCAUCCAGGAAGCAGCAACGUCCAGCAUGCAGCCCUUCACCACGGUCCAGCAGCGUGUGUGUGUUUGGAAAAGAAAGGAAGUGGUGUGUUGUCAUGGUGGCAUGAGAAUGGUAUUACGUCCAGGGGGAAGCAGCUGCCACGGUCUAAGUUGGAAUAUUUUAUUCAUUAGCAAUGAAGUGGUGAAGAGAAAUGGAAGGCUUUUUCACGUCCACAAGGAAACAAAAGUGGAAAAUUAAUUGAUCAAGAAAGUUGCUAAAAGACAAAAUUGAGAAAUGGUGCUGGAUGGCAAAGUCACGUUCAAGUGUGCACAAAAAGAGAAGUAACAGGAGUAGCUUCAGGAGCUAUAAAUUGGCAGAAUUUGGGGGCAGAGGGAUGAGAUUUGGGAAGCAGAUUUUAGUGGAUUUUAGGAGUAGUGUAGGAACUACCCACGUCUGGGAGGAGGCUCUUGCCUCUUCCUCUUCCAAAACUCUCUGUAUUUUAAUUUCAGUGCCAAAACGUAGUUUUCAUUUCUGAACGUGUCAUUUCAUUUUUAGUUGUACUGUUCAACGAAUUUAAUUUCAAGUAUUGAAUCUUUGAUGAAUUUUAUUUUCAUGUUAAGUGUUUUUAUUUUAUCUGUUAAAUUUUACCAG
Molecule: long non-coding RNA, 5912 nt
Organism: Vigna angularis (adzuki bean)
Lineage: Eukaryota; Viridiplantae; Streptophyta; Magnoliopsida; Fabales; Fabaceae
Exons: 4
Source: RefSeq, a predicted model, not a curated record